This 566-nucleotide ribosomal RNA is filed under the name uncultured bacterium. RNAcentral describes it as "bacterial SSU rRNA". It matches the Rfam family "Bacterial small subunit ribosomal RNA", at positions 338 to 916 of the family's 1533-position model. The record is from RNAcentral.
CCUACGGGAGGCAGCAGUGGGGAAUUUUCCGCAAUGGGCGAAAGCCUGACGGAGCAAUACCGCGUGAGGGAGGAAGGCUCUUGGGUCGUAAACCUCUUUUCUCAGGGAAGAAGAAAGUGACGGUACCUGAGGAAUAAGCAUCGGCUAACUCCGUGCCAGCAGCCGCGGUAAUACGGAGGAUGCAAGCGUUAUCCGGAAUAAUUGGGCGUAAAGGGUCCGCAGGUGGCUGUGUAAGUCUGCUGUUAAAGAGUCAUGCUUAACAUGAUAAGAGCAGUGGAAACUACAUAGCUAGAGUACGUUCGGGGCAGAGGGAAUUCCUGGUGUAGCGGUGAAAUGCGUAGAUAUCAGGAAGAACACCGGUGGCGAAAGCGCUCUGCUAGGCCGUAACUGACACUGAGGGACGAAAGCUAGGGGAGCGAAUGGGAUUAGAUACCCCAGUAGUCCUAGCCGUAAACGAUGGAUACUAGGCGUGGCUUGUAUCGACCCGAGCCGUGCCGUAGCUAACGCGUUAAGUAUCCCGCCUGGGGAGUACGCACGCAAGUGUGAAACUUAAAGGAAAUUGACGG